UGGCGAAUAUUGCACAAUGGGCGCAAGCCUGAUGCAGCGACGCCGCGUGAGGGAUGAAGGCCUUCGGGUUGUAAACCUCUUUCAGCAGGGAAGAAGCGCAAGUGACGGUACCUGCAGAAGAAGCGCCGGCUAACUACGUGCCAGCAGCCGCGGUAAUACGUAGGGCGCAAGCGUUGUCCGGAAUUAUUGGGCGUAAAGAGCUCGUAGGCGGUUUGUCGCGUCUGCUGUGAAAACUCGAGGCUCAACCUCGGGCUUGCAGUGGGUACGGGCAGACUAGAGUGCGGUAGGGGAGACUGGAAUUCCUGGUGUAGCGGUGGAAUGCGCAGAUAUCAGGAGGAACACCGAUGGCGAAGGCAGGUCUCUGGGCCGCAACUGACGCUGAGGAGCGAAAGCAUGGGGAGCGAACAGGAUUAGAUACCCUGGUAGUCCAUGCCGUAAACGUUGGGCACUAGGUGUGGGGCUCAUUCCACAAGUUCCGUGCCGCAGCAAACGCAUUAAGUGCCCCGCCUGGGGAGUACGGCCGCAAGGCUAAAACUCAAAGAAAUUGACGGGGGCCCGCACAAGCGGCGGAGCAUGCGGAUUAAUUCGAUGCAACGCGAAGAACCUUACCAAGGCUUGACAUACACCGGAAACUUCCAGAGAUGGUUGCCCCGCAAGGUCGGUGUACAGGUGGUGCAUGGUUGUCGUCAGCUCGUGUCGUGAGAUGUUGGGUUAAGUCCCGCAACGAGCGCAACCCUCGUCCUAUGUUGCCAGCGGGUCAUGCCGGGGACUCAUAGGAGACUGCCGGGGUCAACUCGGAGGAAGG
Molecule: ribosomal RNA, 805 nt
Filed under: uncultured bacterium
Lineage: Bacteria
Description: bacterial SSU rRNA
Rfam family: Bacterial small subunit ribosomal RNA
Source: RNAcentral